GUAGUCCACGCCGUAAACGAUGUCGACUUGGAGGUUGUGCCCUUGAGGCGUGGCUUCCGGAGCUAACGCGUUAAGUCGACCGCCUGGGGAGUACGGCCGCAAGGUUAAAACUCAAAUGAAUUGACGGGGGCCCGCACAAGCGGUGGAGCAUGUGGUUUAAUUCGAUGCAACGCGAAGAACCUUACCUGGUCUUGACAUCCACAGAACUUUCCAGAGAUGGAUUGGUGCCUUCGGGAACUGUGAGACAGGUGCUGCAUGGCUGUCGUCAGCUCGUGUUGUGAAAUGUUGGGUUAAGUCCCGCAACGAGCGCAACCCUUAUCCUUUGUUGCCAGCGGUUAGGCCGGGAACUC
Molecule: ribosomal RNA, 350 nt
Filed under: uncultured Enterobacteriaceae bacterium
Lineage: Bacteria; Pseudomonadati; Pseudomonadota; Gammaproteobacteria; Enterobacterales; Enterobacteriaceae
Description: bacterial SSU rRNA
Rfam family: Bacterial small subunit ribosomal RNA
Source: RNAcentral